Molecule: RNA transcript, 1344 nt
Organism: Poecilia latipinna (sailfin molly)
Lineage: Eukaryota; Metazoa; Chordata; Actinopteri; Cyprinodontiformes; Poeciliidae
Gene name: apoptosis-stimulating of p53 protein 1-like
Exons: 2
Source: RefSeq, a predicted model, not a curated record
AGGGGGGGUGUCGCAGCAAAGAGCUGCAGCAGGACGAGGAGAGAAACAGAACAUGCUGGUUCUGACCCGGUUCCCACAGCAGAACUCGCCAAGAAGACUGUAUCUGAGGUAGACCUGAGCUCGACACCAGAUAAAGUUCUGGUCUGGUCCGGUUUCCCCUGCCGGACCGGCCCGGCCGGGACCAUGGAGUGGAACGAAGUGGACCUGGUGCAGGAGUUCACGGUGGAAGGACAAUGCAGCAAGAUCAAAGUCCGCUCCUGCAGGAUCACCUGGGACAAUCUGCAGGUACUGCAGCCGGGCCGGACCGGGCCUGCGGAACCGGCAGAGUUCUGCUGGACAUCACCACACAUCGACUACACCGGCUGAACUUCUGCUGGCUCCACCAAGAUAAGGAGCCCAGCAGAACCAGACACAGGGUUCUGGAGGAUCAGGAGGUUCCAGAGGGUUCUGGACAUUCUAGAGAUUCUGGAGGGUUCUGGAGAUUCUGGAGGUUCUGAAGGAUUCUAGAGGGUUCUGAAGGGUUCUAGAGGUUCUGAAGGGUUCUGGAGAUUCUAGAGGUUCUGAAAGGUUCUAGAGGGUUGUGAAGGGUUCUAGAGGUUCUGAAGGGUUCUGGAGAUUCUAGAGGUUCUGGAGGGUUCUGAGGGGUUCUGGUGUUUCCAACCACUAAUUUGCUAAACAAAAAUCUUAGCCAUGCUAACAGUAAUCCAUUAAACACUUGAAAAGAAAAUGGCAGAAGCUAAAGCUAAACUGCUACACACAAAAUUAUACUAAACUGCUUACAAAAACAUGCUAAUGCUAAAGUGCUAAUCACAUUAAAGAUUAGCAGAAGCUAAAGCUAACCAUGAUGACUCGCUAGCUGCAGUCCUCAGGUUAUGAUUCUGCCACAUUUUAUAAAGUUCAUCUGUCAUGAAGAUGGGAAACAUCUUAAGGCAAAAAAUGUUUUAAGAGGCUCAAAUAUGUCAGCCAUCUUGAAAAUGCCCUUCAUCCUAAAACUGUAGUGACUGAUGGGAAAUAUGAAAAACAUCAGACCUGAGUGGUUAGCAUGCCUAUGCUUCACCACUAGAGGGAAGUAAAGAGUAGCUCUUCUGGCUAACAGCUAACUGAUCUGAGCUGUAGCAGGAAGAUGAAGUUCAGUGGCCAGGUGCUUCACCUGCAGCAGAACCUCUAACCUGUCCAUGCUGCCAUCGCAUGGUGGCCACAGCAACUGUUUUCAUCAGUGCUGCUGCUCCCAUGAACACCAGGGAAUCACCUUGGUCCCGCAGGUAGAGCUAACCCUCUCUGAGCUCCAGGAAAUGGCCACCAGGCAGCAGCAGCAGAUCGAGGCGCAGCAGCAGAUGCUGAUGG